AUUGAACGCUGGCGGCAGGCUUAACACAUGCAAGUCGAGCGGGGAAAGGUAGCUUGCUACCUGACCUAGCGGCGGACGGGUGAGUAAUGCUUAGGAAUCUGCCUAUUAGUGGGGGACAACAUUCCGAAAGGAAUGCUAAUACCGCAUACGCCCUACGGGGGAAAGCAGGGGAUCUUCGGACCUUGCGCUAAUAGAUGAGCCUAAGUCAGAUUAGCUAGUUGGUGGGGUAAAGGCCUACCAAGGCGACGAUCUGUAGCGGGUCUGAGAGGAUGGUCCGCCACACUGGGACUGAGACACGGCCCAGACUCCUACGGGAGGCAGCAGUGGGGAAUAUUGGACAAUGGGCGAAAGCCUGAUCCAGCCAUGCCGCGUGUGUGAAGAAGGCCUUUUGGUUGUAAAGCACUUUAAGCGAGGAGGAGGCUACUUGGAUUAAUACUCUAGGAUAGUGGACGUUACUCGCAGAAUAAGCACCGGCUAACUCUGUGCCAGCAGCCGCCGUAA
Molecule: ribosomal RNA, 501 nt
Filed under: uncultured bacterium
Lineage: Bacteria
Description: partial 16S ribosomal RNA
Rfam family: Bacterial small subunit ribosomal RNA
Source: RNAcentral